Molecule: unclassified non-coding RNA, 388 nt
Filed under: uncultured Phycisphaerae bacterium
Lineage: Bacteria; Pseudomonadati; Planctomycetota; Phycisphaerae
Description: contains 16S-23S intergenic spacer region
Source: RNAcentral
UCCGGCUUAACGCCGGCAGUCCCGCUAGAGUCCCCGGCUUUACCCGCUGGUAACUAACGGCAAGGGUUUCGCUCGUUAAGGGACUUAACCCGACACUUCACAGCACGAGCUGACGACAGCCGUGCAACACCUGUGCAAGUUUCACUCCGAAGAGCAACCUUAUAAGUUAUCCCUAUAAGGCAUCCAAGCAUGUCAAGCCCAGGUAAGGUUCUUCGCGUUGCUUCGAAUUAAGCCACAUGCUCCACCGCUUGUGUGAGCCCCCGUCAAUUCCUUUGAGUUUUAGCCUUGCGGCCGUACUCCCCAGGCGGCACACUAAUCACUUUUGCUUCGGCGGCGGCGCCGUGAGAGGCCCCGUCACCUAGUGUGCAUCGUUUACGGCGUGGACUAC